AGCAGUAGCCGCGGUAAUACGUAGGUGGCAAGCGUUGUCCGGAAUUAUUGGGCGUAUAGGGCUCGCAGGCGGUUUCUUAAGUCUGAUGUGAAAGCCCACGGCUCAACCGUGGAGGGUCAUUGGAAACUGGGAGACUUGAGUGCAGAAGAGGAGAGUGGAAUUCCACGUGUAGCGGUGAAAUGCGUAGAGAUGUGGAGGAACACCAGUGGCGAAGGCGACUCUCUGGUCUGUAACUGACGCUGAGGAGCGAAAGCGUGGGGAGCGAACAGGAUUAGAUACCCCCGUAGUCCCUGUCUCUUAUAC
Molecule: ribosomal RNA, 303 nt
Filed under: uncultured bacterium
Lineage: Bacteria
Description: partial 16S ribosomal RNA
Rfam family: Bacterial small subunit ribosomal RNA
Source: RNAcentral